UAAACCAUAAAAAUAUGAAUGUAUAUAAAUGCGUACUACAUAUAUGCAUUUAAAACAUUUAGAAUAUACAUAUAUAUUAACAUAUAUAUAUACGCACAUAUAUACGUACAAUAAUAAUAUAUUAAUAAUUAUACUAAUAAACAACAUAAACAAUAUAAAUAAUAAAUAAAUAAAUAAACAAAUUAAAGAUUAAGUUAAGAAAACAAACAGAAUUUGAGAGCUGGAUUUGAAAAUCAAAACAAGAAAGGGAGUAAUUUGAAACACGCGUAACAGGGGAAGGGCCGAAGGAGAAAAUUACCCAAAAAUACUGCACUGCACUGGGCUAAAAUAAAACAGAUUCGAUAUUUCAUGGAAAAUUUUGAAAACAAAAAAAAAGGUUUUGAAAUGAUAGGAUAAAAUGGAAGGAUUAAAAACAUAAAUAACCCAUAAAUAGAAUCUCAUUUCAUUUGCAGCCAAUAAAACCCAUUUCAAACCCCUAAAAGAAAACUCCUCUGCCAUUCAAAAUCGCGCCGCAGCAGUUCUCCUCCGCCGUUCCAGUCCCCUCCCAUGUCCGACCAGAUGACGACGAAAUGAGGACGCUCUCCGACGAAUCUCGCAACGAAACACUAGAGGAGACGUGUAUAACGUGUGAGGCUACUGAACGCGAGAGAAGCGGCAUGCGAGGGAGUCAUGCAGCGCGUCCUGGGGUUUCUGCCUCAUUUGCCAAAAACAUCUUGUGGGCCAAUUGGGCCAAUUUCUGCUGUUUGGGCUAAGCUAUUAGGCCGAUUGGUUUAUUUGUAAAAAUGGACUGUUUAUUGUAUUUGCUAUUUUAAGGUUUAUACAUUUGGGCCCGGGCUAAAAUGGCCUAUUACAAGCGGUAUGAUGCUUUGAGUAAAAUUCCCGAUCAUCCAACUCAAAUGAUCGUUUUCUUUAGUUUACCUUCUAUUGCCCGAUUGGAAUGGGUCAGAAGAUUUCUUUCUCACCAUUAAAAAUCAAUGUUCAAACUUUUUGAUGUUGUAAAACUAUAUAACAUAUGGAUUAUGAUGUACAAUUUUAUUUUCA
Molecule: long non-coding RNA, 1041 nt
Organism: Gossypium raimondii (Peruvian cotton)
Lineage: Eukaryota; Viridiplantae; Streptophyta; Magnoliopsida; Malvales; Malvaceae
Exons: 2
Source: RefSeq, a predicted model, not a curated record